AUUGAACGCUGGCGGCAGGCCUAACACAUGCGAGUCGAACGGUAACAGGAAGAAGCUUGCUUCUUUGCUGACGAGUGGCGGACGGGUGAGUAAUGUCUGGGAAACUGCCUGAUGGAGGGGGAUAACUACUGGAAACGGUAGCUAAUACCGCAUAACGUCGCAAGACCAAAGAGGGGGACCUUCGGGCCUCUUGCCAUCGGAUGUGCCCAGAUGUGAUUAGCUAGUAGGUGGGGUAACGGCUCACCUAGGCGACGAUCCCUAGCUGGUCUGAGGGGAUGACCAGCCACACUGGAACUGAGACACGGUCCAGACUCCUACGGGAGGCAGCAGUGGGGAAUAUUGCACAAUGGGCGCAAGCCUGAUGCAGCCAUGCCGCGUGUAUGAAGAAGGCCUUCGGGUUGUAAAGUACUUUCAGCGGGGAGGAAGGGAGUAAAGUUAAUACCUUUGCUCAUUGACGUUACCCGCAGAAGAAGCACCGGCUAACUCCGUG
RNAcentral lists this ribosomal RNA (490 nucleotides) under uncultured bacterium. Its description in RNAcentral is "partial 16S ribosomal RNA". It matches the Rfam family "Bacterial small subunit ribosomal RNA", at positions 30 to 507 of the family's 1533-position model. The record is from RNAcentral.